This 465-nucleotide ribosomal RNA is filed under the name uncultured bacterium. RNAcentral describes it as "partial 16S ribosomal RNA". It matches the Rfam family "Bacterial small subunit ribosomal RNA", at positions 28 to 507 of the family's 1533-position model. The record is from RNAcentral.
GACGAACGCUGGCGGCGUGCUUAACACAUGCCAGUCGAACGGUAAGGCUCCAGCUUGCUGGGGUACACGAGUGGCGAACGGGUGAGUAACACGUGGGUGACCUGCCCUGCACUUCGGGAUAAGCCUAGGAAACUGGGUCUAAUACCGGAUAGGACCGCACCGUGAGGGUGUGGUGGAAAGUUUUUUCGGUGUGGGCUGGGCCCGCGGCCUAUCAGCUUGUUGGUGGGGUAAUGGCCUACCAAGGCGGCGACGGGUAGCCGGCCUGAGAGGGUGGACGGCCACAUUGGGACUGAGACACGGCCCAGACUCCUACGGGAGGCAGCAGUGGGGAAUAUUGCACAAUGGGCGGAAGCCUGAUGCAGCGACGCCGCGUGGGGGAUGACGGCCUUCGGGUUGUAAACUCCUUUCACCAUCGACGAAGGGUUUCUGACGGUAGAUGGAGAAGAAGCACCGGCUAACUACGUG